GUGAGGGGGUGACUAGUGACAGAGUGAGGGAAGGGGUGACUAGUGGCAGAGUGAGGGAAGGGGUGACUAGUGGCACAGUGAGGGAAGGAAGGGGUGACUAGUGACAGAGUGAGGGAGGUGGUGACUGUCACUAGUCACCACCUCCCUCACUGUCACUACUCCCUCCCUCCUUCUGUCACUAGUCACGCCCUCCCUCACUCUGUCAAAUGUCAUCCCCUCCCUCACUCUGUCACCAGUCAUCCCCUUCCCUCACUCUGUCACCAGUCAUCCCCUUCCCUCAC
Molecule: non-coding RNA, 281 nt
Organism: Pelobates cultripes (western spadefoot toad)
Lineage: Eukaryota; Metazoa; Chordata; Amphibia; Anura; Pelobatidae
Source: the annotation of a GenBank genome assembly